RNAcentral lists this ribosomal RNA (585 nucleotides) under uncultured bacterium. Its description in RNAcentral is "partial 16S ribosomal RNA". It matches the Rfam family "Bacterial small subunit ribosomal RNA", at positions 355 to 1375 of the family's 1533-position model. The record is from RNAcentral.
UGGGGAAUUUUGGACAAUGGGCGAAAGCCUGAUCCAGCAAUGCCGCGUGUGUGAAGAAGGCCUUCGGGUUGUAAAGCACUUUUGUCCGGAAAGAAAUCCUUGGCUCUAAUACAGUCGGGGGAUGACGGUACCGGAAGAAUAAGCACCGGCUAACUACGUGCCAGCAGCCGCGGUAAUACGUAGGGUGCAAGCGUUAAUCGGAAUUACUGGGCGUAAAGCGUGCGCAGGCGGUUUGCUAAGACCGAUGUGAAAUCCCCGGGCUCAACCUGGGAACUGCAUUGGUGACUGGCAGGCUAGAGUAUGGCAGAGGGGGGUAGAAUUCCACGUGUAGCAGUGAAAUGCGUAGAGAUGUGGAGGAAUACCGAUGGCGAAGGCAGCCCCCUGGGCCAAUACUGACGUUCAUGCACGAAAGCGUGGGGAGCAAACAGGAUUAGAUACCCUGGUAGUCCACGCCCUAAACGAUGUCAACUAGUUGUUGGGGAUUCAUUUCCUUAGUAACGUAGCUAACGCGUGAAGUUGACCGCCUGGGGAGUACGGUCGCAAGAUUAAAACUCAAAGGAAUUGACGGGGUCAUAGCUGUUUCCU